AACGCACCUUGCGCUCCUUGGUAUUCCGAGGAGCAUGCCUGUUUGAGUGUCAUUAAAUUCUCAACCUCUCCAGCUUUUUGGCUGGGUGAGGAUUGGAUGUGGGGGUGUGCUGGCUUCCUUAAAAGAGGUCGGCUCCCCUUAAAUGCAUUAGCGGGAACGUCUUGCGGACCGUCACUUGGUGUGAUAAUUAUCUACGCCUCAUGACUGCGAUGCUCUUGUUCUGCUUCUAACCGUCCAUUGACUUGGACAAGCUUUUUGACAAUUUGACCUCAAAUCAGGUAGGACUACCCGCUGAACUUAA
RNAcentral lists this unclassified non-coding RNA (301 nucleotides) under uncultured Basidiomycota. Its description in RNAcentral is "sequence contains ITS2". The stretch from base 1 to 52 matches the Rfam family "5.8S ribosomal RNA", at positions 103 to 154 of the family's 154-position model. Lineage: Eukaryota; Fungi; Basidiomycota. RNAcentral also lists the same sequence under 1 other name. The record is from RNAcentral.